Molecule: ribosomal RNA, 254 nt
Filed under: uncultured bacterium
Lineage: Bacteria
Description: partial 16S ribosomal RNA
Rfam family: Bacterial small subunit ribosomal RNA
Source: RNAcentral
GAUCAUGGCUCAGGAUGAACGCUGGCUACAGGCUUAACACAUGCAAGUCGAGGGGCAGCAUUUUUAUAGCAAUAUAAAAGAUGGCGACCGGCGCACGGGUGAGUAACACGUAUCCAACCUGCCGAUAACUCGGGGAUAACCCUUCGAAAGAAGGCCUAAUACCCGAUGGCAUAUCCCUUCCGCCUGGUUGGGAUAUUAAAGAACUUCGGUUAUCGAUGGGGAUGCGUUCCAUUAACUUGUUGGCGGGGUAACGG